GCACUUCUGAUGCGACCCAACCAGGUCGAAACAGUUGUCCAGUGC
Molecule: non-coding RNA, 45 nt
Organism: Echinostoma caproni
Lineage: Eukaryota; Metazoa; Platyhelminthes; Trematoda; Plagiorchiida; Echinostomatidae
Source: Rfam